GUCUCACUUUGGCAGCACAUAUACUAAAAUUGAAACUAUACAGAGAAGAUUAGCAAGGCCCCUGUGCAAAGAUAACAUGCAAAUUCGUGAAGUGUUCCAUAUUUUU
RNAcentral lists this small nuclear RNA (106 nucleotides) under Jaculus jaculus (lesser Egyptian jerboa). The record is from RNAcentral. Lineage: Eukaryota; Metazoa; Chordata; Mammalia; Rodentia; Dipodidae.